UACGUAGGGUGCAAGCGUUGUCCGGAAUUAUUGGGCGUAAAGAGCUCGUAGGCGGUUUGUUGCGUCGGCUGUGAAAUCCCGAGGCUCAACCUCGGGUCUGCAGUCGAUACGAGCAAACUAGAGUGUUGCAGGGGAGACUGGAAUUCCUGGUGUAGCGGUGAAAUGCGCAGAUAUCAGGAGGAACACCGGUGGCGAAGGCGGGUCUCUGGGCAACAACUGACGCUGAGAGACGAAAGCGAGGGGAGCAAAUGGG
This 253-nucleotide ribosomal RNA is filed under the name uncultured bacterium. RNAcentral describes it as "partial 16S ribosomal RNA". It matches the Rfam family "Bacterial small subunit ribosomal RNA", at positions 524 to 776 of the family's 1533-position model. The record is from RNAcentral.